RNAcentral lists this long non-coding RNA (4745 nucleotides) under Sus scrofa (pig). RNAcentral describes it as "lncRNA (ENSSSCG00000054518.1)". Lineage: Eukaryota; Metazoa; Chordata; Mammalia; Artiodactyla; Suidae. The record is from RNAcentral.
CCGGCGCGCAGGGGGCGGGGCGCCGCUUGACAGUGGCGGUCGCCGGGCAGCGGAGCCCGGGAGCAGCGAGCGAGCGCAGCGCAGCGCAGCCCAGGGAGCGCGAGCGGCGCAGGCGGCAGAGGCGGUGGCGCGGGGUCACCGCCCGCUCCGGCUCUCGGCGCAGGGGAAUAGCCUCCUGCGGCGGCAGAGGCGGCGGCGGCGACGACGUGCGGGCGAUGCUGCAGGUCUCCUCGGGCGCCGGUGUCCUGACCUCUUCCUGAAGGUACCCAGCCCCGCCCGCCCCCUCGCCGCGGGCUCGGCAGCGCCCGGGAAUGGCUUUGUGAAGCUCUGGGCUCGGGCGGUCGGGCGGUGGGCUGGUGCGCGGGGCGGGUGGGGCUGGGCGGGGCUGCGCUGUCUGGGCCGCUUUCCCUGCGAGGAAGAGGGUGGCGGCUGAGGGAAGCGGGCUGGGGGAGGAGGGCUGUCUCCCGGCAGCAGCUGGCGGCUUUGCCAUCCUCCGUCCUCCUGCCCCCAUGUGGUUUGCAAGAGGUUUUGUUGCAGCAGAAAGUUUGACGCUGAGACACGAGGAGCCGGACUCGGGGGUCCCGGAGACCCGCCCCUUUAGAGGGAGGCAGGUCACCCUUGCCGGGGACACCAGAGACCUGAAUGUGUCUGGUCUGGCGUGUAGGAGUCCAGGCCACUUUCUGACCCGAGCGGCAUUCCUGACACGGGCUCUUCCCUGAGGAAAUUCCCUGUGGGACCCCCCUCCUUGGGGCGGGGGCUCGCCGGAGUCAGGGCGUCCAGAGCCCCCAUACUGUGGCUUUCGCUGCAGGUAAUUAAGUCUGCCCUACCUGCUAAUUAAAGAUCCCCAAACAUUGUGUCCAGGGUGCCCUGGUUACUUCCGUCACAUCUUGAACAGUGUCUUAAGACCACAUGCUUCCAACUGGAAGGGCUGGGUUGGUGCUGGGGAGCACGUGAAAAGGUGUAGAAGUUAUGGUCCAGCACUUGGGGUGAGGAGCAGGGAAAAAAAGAGAAUACCAGACACACGUACCCACUUGAAGAUAGGAGAAAGCGUCAACCUUCCAGAAGAACAAAGAGGUGGCUUAUUUGCUUUACAAAACUUCCUCUAAUGCGGAGAAGUAGAGUUAGCAUUGAGUUUUGCACAAAACUGUGGGAACACGUCCGUGGGGACGUAGCUCGGCGUGGAGGUGGUGAUGUGGCUCUCAUGUGGACUUGAGCAGCUCUCAACAAGUAUAGGUUGAAUUCUCUUUAACUCUAAUCAGCCUGAUGCCUUUCUAACCACACGUGGGGAUUCUCAGAGUUACUUUAUUCGUUUCUUCCCAAGAAUGUUCAUGCCGCAAGUCAACUACCUCAUACCAGCUUUUGGGCCCUGGAGACAACCUUAGCCAAGGACGUCAGCAUCGUGUCCUGGCUCAUAACAUUUGCCUCACAGCAGGUCACACCACUUCUGUAAGAACAUUCACUUCGUGAAGAGAAGGAAACCUCCUUAAGCAGUGGUGACACAAUAUACUGAGCACUUACUAUGUGCCAGAUAUAUUACAAGCUGUUUUCUGUACAUUUUAACUCUGAUUCUUACAGUCGCCCUGAUGAGGUGUCAUUACUUGCCCUCUUUUAGGGUUUAAAGGGUUUUGCAGUUUUUCCUAGGUUAUGUGUCAUAUGAUAGAGGUGGGAUUUGAACCUGGAUGUGUCUGACUCCCUGCCAACGCUUGUGUCCACCACCCUAUGUUCUCCCAGACCCUUGUGAGAGGCAACUGCCCACAUUAUGGGACUGGAGGAGAUCCACAUAUGGCAGCAUGGACUGUGUCUCCUGGCCUCCUAGAUCAGACCGCUUUAUAGACUGUCUCUCCCUCUGGGAACCCACCACGGUGUGCCUGUGUUCCGCAGAUGUUUCCUUCACCAAAGGGUGACAUCAGGGAUUCUGCAGACUCUUCCAGCACCCUGCCAACCCCCAGGAUGGCAAUCAGGUGGAAAUCUCCAGACAUGUAAACUCCUUGCCCUUCCAGAUGCCUUAGUUAGUUCCAGAAGACAGGUUACCCAGCGUUUCCUGCAUUGGCACUUAAGGAGCAGUCUCUAUUUUAAGUUUACACAUAUAAGCACACACACCCCCCAACCCCACUUGGCAGCAGCACAUCCCCUGCAGUGUUCACCCUGGCUCACUCCUCCCCCUGUACUAACUGUCAGGGCAUUCCUGACCCAGCCCAGCCCACUUAAAACCAAAGACGGAACCGGAGUCUCUGGGAUGGUGCUGUUAGCGCAGGGAAUCCCUGGUUUCGCCUCUAGUGAGCAGAAGGCAAAUUAACUUAGGGGCCUCGAGCAGGAAGCAGACCUUCUCCAUAGUGCGAAACACAUGCAUGUGGGGUAGCCUGUUGUCAGCACUGCAGAAGAUGUGUGUCACCAUAUAGAAAUGCUUUUACUGGCUAUUUUGGUGAUGGAUGCGGCCCCAUGCCUACUUCUGAUCUGAUUACUCACUUUUAUACUGAGCCAGUUGUCACUUGGUUGAAUGGUGUCAAAAACUGGUGUCACAGUUGUGAGAGUAAGUUCUGAAGCUGUGCCUAAAAAAUGUGUCUAUUGUUAUAAACUUCAGCCACUGUUUUUAUUAUUUCCCUCGAGUGUGUGUGUGUGUGCGUGUGUGUGCGUGUGUGUGUGUGUGUGUGUGUGUGUUCUCUCCCUUGGUAUAGUGUUCGACUCUCUCUGGUUCCAAAAUGAUUUGCAGUGCUAAGGCUAAAAAGAAAGAAAUGCGUUUUUGAGCUGUGACCAUAUGCUGCCUGGAAGCAUAUCGCUGUAGUUGGCGUUUUACUCAUGUUACUCUAGUGCAAAGCAUCUCCAAGUCCCAUGUGCAGGCUCUGGGACUUCGAAUGGGCUUUCCUGUCUCAUUAUUCCACUGCAUCCCCUGUAGCAGUGAUGAGGCUUGAGUUUAGAAGACAGUGCUGUCACCUCCCCUCUAAUAUCUCUACACUGCCAAACACUGGAGCAGCACUAAUUCACGUUGGGAAAGUUGAACAUGAGGUUUGCUCACCGUCACUCUUGCACCAGAAUGGAAAGGUACCAAAAACAUUUGGGGGGAUAAAGAGUGAAGUUGACAUCUUUAAAUGACUAGGAAUCUAUAAAAUGAUAGUGAAUUGCUGAUAUCAUACCAUUCUCCUGAAGUUGGCUAUAGGCAGAUGCCUCACUAACCUAAAACCGUCCAGCAUCAGCAGACGUCCACUCUGCAUUCUGUUCUAUUUUUAAGACUUCUCAUUAACUAGCAGUCCACAUUUAAUUCCAAAUUUCAUCAAAUCUAAAAUGUCAUGAGCUCUUAAGACAUAGCAUUAUUUUUGUUAUACAGGAAGAGGAAAAAACCGCCAGUUGUGUGAUGACAUGCCACUUCAGCAGUCGUCUUCCGUGACGCUGCAUGAAUAUGUCACACCAGCUUCUCGUUGUUUUCAAGUUUCCUUCAUCUCUGCCAUGGGCUUUGGUACUUUUUCCUGCGGGUACCUUCAGUAGGUACCGUCUGUUGCAUUGCUUAUGGUGUGAUAGGCAGUGGGGGUUCCAUAUGAAGAAGAUUCAUCUUCUGUGUUUUUCUUCCGUUUGGUGUACCAUUUGGAAUUUUCUUUGCAAGGUAAUACAGAAAUGCCACACAAAGAUAAAUGUUUCCUUUAGUAACAUAACUUUUAUGCCCCCAUAAAAGUUCGUUUUGCCUUGGUGCAUACACAGUAACAUCUUUAAGUGCCAGGCCAUAGUGUAAUCUUUUAGAAAGGUAAUCUUUUAAAAUGACAAUUAAAAAGAACACGUGCUGCGCUAACGUCCCUAACUUAGUGGAAGCGACAACAAAAUGAAUAGUGAUGACCACAUUUAUGCAAAUGCAGGGAAAUGACAAUUGUGUUGUGACUUCUGCCAGGUUGCCAGCAGUUUUAAGAGACCAACAAUGGUAAACCACAUCCUGGUUUCAGAGAUGUUAAAAUGCGGGGGGUGGGGAGGGGAACGGGGGGGGGGGGUGGGGGGGAUGCAACUUGUCAAUGAAAUGUGGCACGUUCAGUUUCAUGACCUCUAACCUGCCUACCUGCUUGCACUUAUUCAUUCAUUCAUAUGGUCAUUCUUUUUGUUAGGCGCAAGCUCCAGGAGGGCAAGGACUUUUUCUGUCUUGUUCUCUGGCAUAUGUCAACCACUUAGAACAGUCACUGACACAUAGUUAAGCUGCACAAUAAAUAGCCAUAGAAGGAGUGAAUGAAUAUCCCCCUUGGGAGAUAAGAAGACACGUCAGGCAGCUUACUACUGCCCUGCUGUAGUGAGAAAACAUAUUCUUAGACUCAUGACACGGACAGAAAUGCCAAAUGCAGCAAAGGCUACAGAGCAGCUUUCAGUCCUUCGUGGUAUUUACAAAGCCCAAUCCACCAUGUCUCACGCCAUUGCAAAACUGGUUUCCGGUAGAAUAAAUUCCACUGUGGCUUUUAUGGAUGUUUGACCACUGAUGGAAUUGAUAACAGCUAGUAUCUUGGUUCUCUUAUAUGACCCAAAAGCAUUAAUUACUUGCAUUUUAUGCUCAGUUCAGUUUCAUGCACUUGUCCUUUGUAGGUGUAACAUGUGCCAGACGACAGGUAAAUAUCUUUUCCUUCAGUAGUUUCCUCUGAAACAGACACUCAGGGGUGGUGACCUUGUCUGAAUGGACGUCCCCAAGAAAAUAUGUAUCUACUUAAAGGCCUCGCCUUACAGCCCACUUUUUAACCACCCCCAAGGGCCAUCUUUACAUUUUGACAUUUGACAAAGAAAAA